RNAcentral lists this ribosomal RNA (497 nucleotides) under uncultured bacterium. RNAcentral's name for it is "partial 16S ribosomal RNA". It matches the Rfam family "Bacterial small subunit ribosomal RNA", at positions 28 to 507 of the family's 1533-position model. The record is from RNAcentral.
GAUGAACGCUGGCGGCGUGCCUAAUACAUGCAAGUCGAGCGAACAGACGAGGAGCUUGCUCCUCUGACGUUAGCGGCGGACGGGUGAGUAACACGUGGAUAACCUACCUAUAAGACUGGGAUAACUUCGGGAAACCGGAGCUAAUACCGGAUAAUAUAUUGAACCGCAUGGUUCAAUAGUGAAAGACGGUUUUGCUGUCACUUAUAGAUGGAUCCGCGCCGCAUUAGCUAGUUGGUAAGGUAACGGCUUACCAAGGCAACGAUGCGUAGCCGACCUGAGAGGGUGAUCGGCCACACUGGAACUGAGACACGGUCCAGACUCCUACGGGAGGUAGCAGUAGGGAAUCUGCCGCAAUGGGCGAAAGCCUGACGGAGCAACGCCGCGUGAGUGAUGAAGGUCUUCGGAUCGUAAAACUCUGUUAUUAGGGAAGAACAAAUGUGUAAGUAACUAUGCACGUCUUGACGGUACCUAAUCAGAAAGCCACGGCUAACUACGUG